RNAcentral lists this transfer RNA (69 nucleotides) under Habrocerus capillaricornis. RNAcentral describes it as "tRNA-Lys". Lineage: Eukaryota; Metazoa; Arthropoda; Insecta; Coleoptera; Staphylinidae. The record is from RNAcentral.
CAUUAGAUGGCUGAAAGUAAGCCCUGGUCUCUUAAACCAUUAUAUAGUAGUUAACAUUUACUUCUAGUG